CCUAUAUAAAAACAUUUUUAAGUAUAUUUUUUGAAAUUAUAGGUAUUAGUUAUUUUGCACUUUUGUCGUUUAUUAUUUUUCUUCUUCUAAACAUUUGACUGUAAAUAAUUUAGUUAAUCAAUUCUUUAUCAACUAGGGGUUUUAAUUCAAAAGUCUGUCCAGGUUUCUAGUAGACCUCUAGGCCUUACAUUACUUAUUUUACAUAAUUACUAUUCUUGUAAAUACUACUGGGCGAAAUCAUUUAAAUAAAAAAUAUAUUCGCAGGUUAUUACAUAAGGCGUUUCUGAUAAGGCGUGUCUGUGUUAAUUUGUUAAUUGUAUUUUACAUUUGAUUGACAACACUAUAAAUAGUGAUGGGCACAGACGUAUUUUUAUUGACUAAACCGGCAGGCUCUAAUUCAACUCAAAGAGCCUGUUCGCAGGCUAUAUCGAUCGAUAAAAACAUGUUUUAAGACAUUUUGGUCGAAUGCAAAGGGGGGACUAUAGUGUCCUUUUCCGGCUGUUAAUUUCAGCAAAAAUAAAACAAGAGUUAUUCCGAAUAUGGAGUGCAUAAUAUUGACACACAAUUUAUUAA
Non-coding RNA from Paramuricea clavata, 573 nucleotides. The record is from the annotation of a GenBank genome assembly. Lineage: Eukaryota; Metazoa; Cnidaria; Anthozoa; Malacalcyonacea; Plexauridae.